Small nuclear RNA from Nyctereutes procyonoides (raccoon dog), 105 nucleotides. The record is from RefSeq and is a predicted model, not a curated record. Lineage: Eukaryota; Metazoa; Chordata; Mammalia; Carnivora; Canidae.
UACUCGCUUUGGCAGCACUAUACUAACAUUGGAAUGAUCAAGAGAAAAUUAGCAUGGCUCCCGCGCAAAGGUGACAUGCAUGUUUGUGAAGCGUUCCAUAUUUUU